This is a long non-coding RNA of Vespula vulgaris, 3688 nucleotides long. RefSeq lists it as uncharacterized. The transcript has 4 exons. The record is from RefSeq and is a predicted model, not a curated record. NCBI's taxonomy places the organism in Eukaryota, Metazoa, Arthropoda, Insecta, Hymenoptera, Vespidae.
CCUAUCAUGAACCUUUCUCUACGUCGCAGAGAGCGUCUCGCGAACAGCCAUUGUCAAGGUCCUCUCUGGUCACGGGCAAAACACUGGUAAACGCGCUCGUCGAGACACGCGCGAUCGAGGUCGUUCGCGAUCGUCCCAGGACCACUCUCGCCGAAGGACGACCAUCGACCGAUUAAGACGCAGCAAUUAUUGGCCGGAGACCAGUUCCCGCUAUUCCAGUUCUACGCUGGUUACGUAAUCGUGAUUGUGAGACCGCAUAAAUAUGCUUUGAAUCCGCUAUGUCGUUCUCUUUCUAUCGUCGAUGGACGUCAAAUGCAUUUAAUUCGUCCGUUCGAAGAAGGACACCUUUUCAUAUGAAUUUCAUCAUUUAGCUUGUUCUGUCAUUUCUUUUUUAAACGAACAGGAAACAGCAACGGUAGCUUAUGUAAUGUCAUUUGCGAUUUUAAUUGGUAGGUCUCCAAUAGUCCCUGAUAAUUCUUUCUCUCUUUCUCUAUAUGUCCGUCUCUCUCUCUCCGUCUGUCAUCUUUUACCGGAAGAGGUCGAUCGAUCGAAGAAUCACGAGGUCAUCGUGACGUACGCGAUAUACCGCUAUCCUCUCACCAGCGUGAGAGGUGUCCUUCGUUGGCCUUGUAAUCUCGCUCGUUACCUCAAGGAUAAUGCGAAUUAAUAGCUCGUUACGAAUGCUCCACAUUUCUCUUUCUUUCAUCGAGCCCUACAUCAUCUAAUCGCUGAAUCUAAUCGUAUACGUGCGAUCGUACUCGUAUAUUAUUGCGCCGUUAGUUUUCGAAAUAAAGAAUCGGGUUUAUUCGAGAUCGGGAUUCGUACGAAGAGAUUCGAGGACGUACGAUUACCUUACCAUCCGUCACGUCGAAUUUCCUUUCGGUCUUUUUUCUUUUCGAAGGGAGAAAGUGUGAAGUGAAAUAAGAACAAAGGAAAAUUCGACGCACGACUUCGUCCCGUGGGAUCGACUUUGCCAUCCUCCCUUCCAUCCCGUGACACUUUUAUUUGCAGUAUGGAUGAAAUAGGGAAAGGAGGAAAUGAAAGAAAAAAAAAAAAAACGAGAAAAAAAAUUUUACAAGAGGGUGGCCACACAAUGUCCCGUAUCGUAUUUCACCGGAAUCGACGACGAUGAUCCGAGCUCGUAACGUAAUGUUCUCUCGUUCGGUGGGAAGCAACAAUGGAGGUCAUAAACCGCAACUUCCUUGAAAUGCUUGAGAGUUAAUUACCGAACGCGAUACUUUCUUUCCACUCGAGGUGGUAUAUAUCGGAGCUGAAGGGAUGACGCGAUAAAAUCAAUUACUUCCACGAGUGAUACAUUAUAAUCGUUAUAUCUAUACGUUCGUAUAUCGACAUCGAGAUACAAUCGAUAUUUUCAAAUUUAAAUAUUUUCAAAGCACGUCGAAAAUGUCGAAAAUUGCUUUCUCGCCAAGUUUUUCACGGGACUAUCGUAAGGGAACGAUUUAAGUUAAUCCUCGAUAAAGUCACGGUUCUACCUUAUCCUGCUUUUUUUCUUUCCUUUUUUCUUUUUAUUUCCCUUUUUCUUGUACUUUCCCGCGUCUAUAAUGUAAGAAUCGAUAAAUCUUUGUUACGUUAGUGGAAGCGUGACUAUCGAUGGAAACAUUACUUUCGAUUUCGUUCGUUUGAAAGCUCGAAGAACCCGAAAGUAAGUCGGAUCGGAGGUUGUUAAACGCGUCAACCUUGACUUCUCGUCUAGCGUUACUUCUCCACGUUCUCUGAGCUCUUUGGUUUCGUUAUGGCGACGGCGACGGACUUCGCCUUGAUCGCCCUUCAAAGAUCUUGCCCGAUCUCGGAACGGGAGUUGAAAUGGACGUGAGAUAGAUAGAGAUAAAGAGAUAGAUAGAGAGAGGGAGAGGGAGAGAGAGAGAGAGAGAGAGAGAGAGAAAUAGAGAGAGAUUUGAAGCACUACCGAGAGCCGUACUGUAAUCCUGGGCAAUCAGUGAACAAACAGACGCGUCGAGAAUAAAGAAAUAAAAGAGCGCAAGAAGAAUAUCAAAAAAAGAAAAGAAAAGAAAAGAAUAUCUACGAACACCGUACGUUGCGUUUACCGAAGAGGACGAGCUCGUUCGUUCUUUAAAGAGGCCAACGACUCGCGAUGGCUGACCUCUUGGCGCUCUACCGCGUUACGUUCGAGACGCUUCUACGAAAAGAAAUCCCGAGAAUUUCACGGUCGACUAGGAUGACUUUUCGAGUGAGUAACGCGGCCAGCGAACGUGCAAGCAAUGAGCAAUCAUCGAUCGAUUCUAUCUCUAGUUUGGUUAUCGGACUAUAAUGAUUCGAUGAUUACGAUCGAACGGUAUUGACUACUUACCGGAUGACGUUGGUCUACGUCAUGCACGAGUCUUCGUUUUUUCCCGUUAAACCCGUCAACGUAUACCGUUCUUAGAAACCGUCUGCACUCUACUACAAUUGCAUCGAUGCUUCUAAUCAUAUCUGUAAAAAAAUGUAUGCACAUACGAACGUAAAUAAAACGGAAAAGAAAAAAAAAAGAAACUAAUUUGAGCGCGUGUUAAUUUCACGAAGGCUUAAUUAUGGUAAUCGAUGCGUUUUUCGUGAUUACAUGUUUCACUUUCUAGAGGAGACAAGCAACGGAAUGAAAUGCAACGAUAUACGUGUUCGUUAUCGAGAAACGUUAGCCGCAAGAAUGAAAGAGAAACGAAAGAGUGAAAACGUGUUGCAUUCGUAAAUUACGAGGACGUAGGUAGAUACGUUUGUAUAUAUACGUUUAAUACAUGUGUAAAUGAUUGUGUAGGUCUAUCAUGUUGGUACUAGAAUUGCGGCUAAAUCGAAAUAGCCGAGAGGAAAGCGAUUUCUUUUGAAAGCUAUCGCGGAAAUCUCGGUGAAUUUGCGGAUAAGAUUUCUUUUUUCUUUUCUUUUCAGUUUAAUUUUAGUGGAUUUAGUUGGAAGCUCUACGACCUCGUAUGACUUUUGUAAACUUUAUGACAGUAUUAAAAAAGAAAAAAUAUAUAUAUAUUAAGUUAAAUUAAUCGUUGUGUGUACGUGUGUGUUAUGCCCGUGCGUUAUGUACGAUUAAUAUAAUUUAGACCGAUGUUAUAUAAUCUGAUGUAUUAGAAAUAUUAGAUUAUAUUAAAUAUUCGUAUUAUGUAAUAUGAAUCUAAUACAAGAGACAUUAUAUAAUAUUAUAUAAUAUUAAUCUAAUAUAUUUAUAAAAGACAUUGUCGACGACUGCAUGAAGACGACAGCAGUGCGUAGUUGAAAAAAUCAAUAGGAUCGAUAAUUCAAUGAUAAGAUGACCGAGAGAGAGAGAGAACGUAACGGUCUCGUCAGCUGUGUGAAUUGCGAAGCGAAUAUCGCACGUCGUAUGCUCCUGUCGUUUCGCCUUCUAUUCAAAUAUUUGAGGUAGAAGCUUGCUCGUUGAUACCACUCUUAUCAUCGUCCAUACGGAGGAUCCUCGCGAAAAAGAACGAAUACGAACGCAAAAUUAUUUCGGAUUCCGAACGAGAGACGAAAUAAUGCUCCUCGUCGUUCCAUUUUAAAAGGAACAAAGAAAAUUAAGACCCUUCUAAUUAAAUGAAUAAACGACCGAUGGGACUUCUACUUAAGGGACGAAUCAAGGAGACUCCUUGUUGGGACAUAACAAAGAGCGCAAACAUUUAUCAUUGACUCCUAUAUUCUAUCUCUUUCUAAAUAAAUAAAUAAAUAUAUAUGU